AAAAUCCAAAAUACUUAAUUCCUAUCUUAACCCCUUUCAAUAAAGAUGGAAAUGGAUUAUGGUGGAUACCGUGCACUCCUGAGAUUAAGAUACGAGGUGGAUGCCUCGCCCAUCUUAACUUUCGCCGUCAUUUGCCAAUUCAGUUUCUUCAAACCCCUUUCCCAAUCAAAUUCAAAACACGUAAUCUUUAUUAAACACUUUCGCCAGUAAGAUGGAAAUGGAACAUGGAGG
RNAcentral lists this long non-coding RNA (231 nucleotides) under Lathyrus oleraceus (garden pea). Its description in RNAcentral is "Pisum sativum (pea) long non-coding RNA (PSAT_LNC006284)". Lineage: Eukaryota; Viridiplantae; Streptophyta; Magnoliopsida; Fabales; Fabaceae. The record is from RNAcentral.